This 144-nucleotide ribosomal RNA is filed under the name Thrips florum. RNAcentral describes it as "partial 18S ribosomal RNA". It matches the Rfam family "Eukaryotic small subunit ribosomal RNA", at positions 1692 to 1831 of the family's 1831-position model. The record is from RNAcentral. Lineage: Eukaryota; Metazoa; Arthropoda; Insecta; Thysanoptera; Thripidae.
AAUGUUUUAGUGAGGUCUUCGGACUGGCGCGCGGAGCUCUUUCGGGAGCGCCGAUGUCGUCGGAAAGAUGACCAAACUUGAAUAUUUAGAGGAAGUAAAAGUCGUAACAAGGUUGCUGUAGGUGAACCUGCAGCAGGAUCAUUA